GACAGUUUGGCCGAGUGGUCUAAGGCGCUAGGCUCCGGUCCGAAAGGGCGUGGGUUCAAAUCCCACAGCUGUCA
RNAcentral lists this transfer RNA (74 nucleotides) under Musa acuminata subsp. malaccensis (wild Malaysian banana). It matches the Rfam family "tRNA". Rfam says of the family: Transfer RNA (tRNA) molecules are approximately 80 nucleotides in length. The record is from Rfam by way of RNAcentral. Lineage: Eukaryota; Viridiplantae; Streptophyta; Magnoliopsida; Zingiberales; Musaceae.